This is a long non-coding RNA of Oncorhynchus nerka (sockeye salmon), 501 nucleotides long. RefSeq lists it as uncharacterized. The record is from RefSeq and is a predicted model, not a curated record. The transcript is spliced from 3 exons. NCBI's taxonomy places the organism in Eukaryota, Metazoa, Chordata, Actinopteri, Salmoniformes, Salmonidae.
CUCUCUCUCCUGUCUCUCUCUCUCUCUCUCUCUCUCUCUCGCUCACUCGCACACACACGCAUAUGCACACACACCCACACACACACAGUCAAGCCUCCUACUAAGUAGCAGUAUGUCUACUGCUCUAGUCUCUAAGACAGUGAAUAAUAAAAACCUGCCUGUUUGUUUUCCUCUACUCCAGGUGAUCCAUUUGUGGUUUGAACACUUCUCCCUGGAGGCAACAGACCUGUGCACAGCAGACUACUUUACAAUACAGGACAACCUGGGAGUCAUCGGGAGGUUGUGUGGGCGCUCCAAACCCGGGCCGAUAGUGUCAUUAGGAAACUAUGUUGUUGUUCUUUGACACCAAUGACAGAAAUACAGACAAGGGAUUCAAAGCGAAGUACCAAGCUGUGACACCAGAGAGUACUUUAGAAAUAGCCGGGGCUGGUGGCGCUCUCCAAGGUGACCACGGUGAUCUACUGACCCCUGGGUUCCCAGCACAGAACUAUGAGAACGGGG